CAUGCAGUCGAACGAUGAUCAGGAGCUUGCUCUUGUGAUUAGUGGCGAACGGGUGAGUAACACGUGAGUAACCUGCCCCUGACUCUGGGAUAAGCGUUGGAAACGACGUCUAAUACUGGAUAGGACUACUGGCCGCAUGGUCUGGUGGUGGAAAGAUUUUUUGGUUGGGGAUGGACUCGCGGCCUAUCAGCUUGUUGGUGAGGUAAUGGCUCACCAAGGCGACGACGGGUAGCCGGCCUGAGAGGGUGACCGGCCACACUGGGACUGAGACACGGCCCAGACUCCUACGGGAGGCAGCAGUGGGGAAUAUUGCACAAUGGGCGAAAGCCUGAUGCAGCAACGCCGCGUGAGGGAUGACGGCCUUCGGGUUGUAAACCUCUUUUAGUAGGGAAGAAGCGAAAGUGACGGUACCUGCAGAAAAAGCACCGGCUAACUACGUGCCCAGCAGCCGCGGUAAUACGUAGGGUGCAAGCGUUGUCCGGAAUUAUUGGGCGUAAAGAGCUCGUAGGCGGUUUGUCGCGUCUGCUGUGAAAUCCCGAGGCUCAACCUCGGGCUUGCAGUGGGUACGGGCAGACUAGAGUGCGGUAGGGGAGAUUGGAAUUCCUGGUGUAGCGGUGGAAUGCGCAGAUAUCAGGAGGAACACCGAUGGCGAAGGCAGAUCUCUGGGCCGUAACUGACGCUGAGGAGCGAAAGCAUGGGGAGCGAACAGGAUUAGAUACCCUGGUAGUCCAUGCCGUAAACGUUGGGCGCUAGAUGUAGGGACCUUUCCACGGUUUCUGUGUCGUAGCUAACGCAUUAAGCGCCCCGCCUGGGGAGUACGGCCGCAAGGCUAAAACUCAAAGGAAUUGACGGGGGCCCGCACAAGCGGCGGAGCAUGCGGAUUAAUUCGAUGCAACGCGAAGAACCUUACCAAGGCUUGACAUACACCGGAAACGGCCAGAGAUGGUCGCCCCCUUGUCGUCGGUGUACAGGUGGUGCAUGGUUGUCGUCAGCUCGUGUCGUGAGAUGUUGGGUUAAGUCCCGCAACGAGCGCAACCCUCGUUCUAUGUUGCCAGCGCGUUAUGGCGGGGACUCAUAGGAGACUGCCGGGGUCAACUCGGAGGAAGGUGGGGAUGACGUCAAAUCAUCAUGCCCCUUAUGUCUUGGGCUUCACGCAUGCUACAAUGGCCGGUACAAAGGGCUGCGAUACCGUAAGGUGGAGCGAAUCCCAAAAAGCCGGUCUCAGUUCGGAUUGAGGUCUGCAACUCGACCUCAUGAAGUCGGAGUCGCUAGUAAUCGCAGAUCAGCAACGCUGCGGUGAAUACGUUCCCGGGCCUUGUACACACCGCCCGUCAAGUCAUGAAAGUCGGUAACACCCGAAGCCGGUGGCCUAACCCUUGUGGAAGGAGCCGUCG
This 1394-nucleotide ribosomal RNA is filed under the name Curtobacterium. RNAcentral's name for it is "bacterial SSU rRNA". It matches the Rfam family "Bacterial small subunit ribosomal RNA". RNAcentral also lists the same sequence under 1 other name. The record is from RNAcentral. Lineage: Bacteria; Bacillati; Actinomycetota; Actinomycetes; Micrococcales; Microbacteriaceae.